This 1475-nucleotide ribosomal RNA is filed under the name Microbacterium oleivorans. RNAcentral describes it as "bacterial SSU rRNA". It matches the Rfam family "Bacterial small subunit ribosomal RNA". The record is from RNAcentral. RNAcentral also lists the same sequence under 1 other name. Lineage: Bacteria; Bacillati; Actinomycetota; Actinomycetes; Micrococcales; Microbacteriaceae.
GAUGAACGCUGGCGGCGUGCUUAACACAUGCAAGUCGAACGGUGAAGCAGAGCUUGCUCUGUGGAUCAGUGGCGAACGGGUGAGUAACACGUGAGCAACCUGCCCCUGACUCUGGGAUAAGCGCUGGAAACGGCGUCUAAUACUGGAUAUGAGCUGCGACCGCAUGGUCAGCAGUUGGAAAGAUUUUUCGGUCUGGGAUGGGCUCACGGCCUAUCAGCUUGUUGGUGAGGUAAUGGCUCACCAAGGCGUCGACGGGUAGCCGGCCUGAGAGGGUGACCGGCCACACUGGGACUGAGACACGGCCCAGACUCCUACGGGAGGCAGCAGUGGGGAAUAUUGCACAAUGGGCGAAAGCCUGAUGCAGCAACGCCGCGUGAGGGAUGACGGCCUUCGGGUUGUAAACCUCUUUUAGCAGGGAAGAAGCGAAAGUGACGGUACCUGCAGAAAAAGCGCCGGCUAACUACGUGCCAGCAGCCGCGGUAAUACGUAGGGCGCAAGCGUUAUCCGGAAUUAUUGGGCGUAAAGAGCUCGUAGGCGGUUUGUCGCGUCUGCUGUGAAAUCCCGAGGCUCAACCUCGGGUCUGCAGUGGGUACGGGCAGACUAGAGUGCGGUAGGGGAGAUUGGAAUUCCUGGUGUAGCGGUGGAAUGCGCAGAUAUCAGGAGGAACACCGAUGGCGAAGGCAGAUCUCUGGGCCGUUACUGACGCUGAGGAGCGAAAGGGUGGGGAGCAAACAGGCUUAGAUACCCUGGUAGUCCACCCCGUAAACGUUGGGAACUAGUUGUGGGGUCCAUUCCACGGAUUCCGUGACGCAGCUAACGCAUUAAGUUCCCCGCCUGGGGAGUACGGCCGCAAGGCUAAAACUCAAAGGAAUUGACGGGGACCCGCACAAGCGGCGGAGCAUGCGGAUUAAUUCGAUGCAACGCGAAGAACCUUACCAAGGCUUGACAUAUACGAGAACGGGCCAGAAAUGGUCAACUCUUUGGACACUCGUAAACAGGUGGUGCAUGGUUGUCGUCAGCUCGUGUCGUGAGAUGUUGGGUUAAGUCCCGCAACGAGCGCAACCCUCGUUCUAUGUUGCCAGCACGUAAUGGUGGGAACUCAUGGGAUACUGCCGGGGUCAACUCGGAGGAAGGUGGGGAUGACGUCAAAUCAUCAUGCCCCUUAUGUCUUGGGCUUCACGCAUGCUACAAUGGCCGGUACAAAGGGCUGCAAUACCGUGAGGUGGAGCGAAUCCCAAAAAGCCGGUCCCAGUUCGGAUUGAGGUCUGCAACUCGACCUCAUGAAGUCGGAGUCGCUAGUAAUCGCAGAUCAGCAACGCUGCGGUGAAUACGUUCCCGGGUCUUGUACACACCGCCCGUCAAGUCAUGAAAGUCGGUAACACCUGAAGCCGGUGGCCCAACCCUUGUGGAGGGAGCCGUCGAAGGUGGGAUUGGUAAUUAGGACUAAGUCGUAACAAGGUAGCCGUACCGGAAGG